CAGCAGCCACGGGAAUACGAAGGGGGCUAGCGUUGUUCGGAUUUACUGGGCGUAAAGGGCGCGUAGGCGGAUUGAUAAGUCAGGGGUGAAAUCCCAAGGCUCAACCUUGGAACUGCCUUUGAUACUGUUUGUCUUGAGUUCGAGAGAGGUAAGUGGAACUGCGAGUGUAGAGGUGAAAUUCGUAGAUAUUCGCAAGAACACCAGUGGCGAAGGCGGCUUACUGGCUCGAAACUGACGCUGAGGCGCGAAAGCGUGGGGAGCAAACAGGAUUAGAUACCCCUGUAGUCCCUGUCUCUUAUAC
RNAcentral lists this ribosomal RNA (301 nucleotides) under uncultured bacterium. RNAcentral's name for it is "partial 16S ribosomal RNA". It matches the Rfam family "Bacterial small subunit ribosomal RNA", at positions 509 to 807 of the family's 1533-position model. The record is from RNAcentral.